UUUUAUGAGAGUUUGAUCCUGGCUCAGGACGAACGCUGGCGGCGUGCCUAAUACAUGCAAGUCGUACGCUUCUUUUUCCACCGGAGCUUGCUCCACCGGAAAAAGAAGAGUGGCGAACGGGUGAGUAACACGUGGGUAACCUGCCCAUCAGAAGGGGAUAACACUUGGAAACAGGUGCUAAUACCGUAUAACAAUCGAAACCGCAUGGUUUUGAUUUGAAAGGCGCU
This 227-nucleotide ribosomal RNA is filed under the name Enterococcus faecium. RNAcentral's name for it is "partial 16S ribosomal RNA". It matches the Rfam family "Bacterial small subunit ribosomal RNA", at positions 1 to 212 of the family's 1533-position model. Lineage: Bacteria; Bacillati; Bacillota; Bacilli; Lactobacillales; Enterococcaceae. The record is from RNAcentral.